This 510-nucleotide ribosomal RNA is filed under the name uncultured bacterium. RNAcentral describes it as "bacterial SSU rRNA". It matches the Rfam family "Bacterial small subunit ribosomal RNA", at positions 28 to 528 of the family's 1533-position model. The record is from RNAcentral.
GACGAACGCUGGCGGCGUGGAUUAGGCAUGCAAGUCGAACGGUAUCAUCCUUUCGGGGGUGAGAGAGUGGCGAACCGGUGAGUAACACGUAGGUUAUCUACCCUCAAGACGGGGACAACCCAGGGAAACUUGGGCUAAUACCGGAUGUGAGCAACUUUUAGUUGUUUGAAAGGUGGCGUAAGCUGUCGCUUGGGGAUGAGCCUGCGUCCUAUUAGUUAGUUGGUGAGGUAACGGCUCACCUAGGCAAUGAUAGGUAGGCGGCCUUAACGGGUGGUCGCCCACACUGGGAUUGAGAUACGGCCCAGACUCCUACGGGAGGCAGCAGUCGAGAAUAGUCUACAAUGGUCGGAAGACUGAUAGUGCGACGCCGCGUGAACGAUGAAUCCCUUCGGGGUGUAAAGUUCUUUUAUAUGUGAGCAGUGCUUCUUAUAUUAACAGUAUGGGGAGAGAGAUAUUAGCAUAUGAAUAAGCAACGGCUAACUCCGUAGCCAGCAGCCGCGGUAAACUCGU